This 687-nucleotide ribosomal RNA is filed under the name uncultured Bacteroidota bacterium. RNAcentral's name for it is "bacterial SSU rRNA". It matches the Rfam family "Bacterial small subunit ribosomal RNA", at positions 78 to 763 of the family's 1533-position model. Lineage: Bacteria; Pseudomonadati; Bacteroidota. The record is from RNAcentral.
UGCUAAUUUGCUGACGAGUGGCGCACGGGUGCGUAACGCGCAUACAAUCUACCUUUUACAGUGGGAUAGCCUUUAGAAAUGAAGAUUAAUACCGCAUAGUAUGUUUAAAUGGCAUCAUUUAGAUAUUAAAGAUUUAUCGGUAAAAGAUGAGUAUGCGUUCUAUUAGCUAGAUGGUAAGGUAACGGCUUACCAUGGCAACGAUAGAUAGGGGCCCUGAGAGGGGGAUCCCCCACACUGGUACUGAGACACGGACCAGACUCCUACGGGAGGCAGCAGUGAGGAAUAUUGGACAAUGGGCGCAAGCCUGAUCCAGCCAUGCCGCGUGCAGGAAGACUGCCCUAUGGGUUGUAAACUGCUUUUAUACAGGAAGAAACACCCCCUCGUGAGGGGGCUUGACGGUACUGUAAGAAUAAGGAUCGGCUAACUCCGUGCCAGCAGCCGCGGUAAUACGGAGGAUCCAAGCGUUAUCCGGAAUCAUUGGGUUUAAAGGGUCCGUAGGUGGAUAAUUAAGUCAGAGGUGAAAGUCUGCAGCUCAACUGUAGAAUUGCCUUUGAUACUGGUUAUCUUGAGUCAUUAUGAAGUGGUUAGAAUAUGUAGUGUAGCGGUGAAAUGCAUAGAUAUUACAUAGAAUACCAAUUGCGAAGGCAGAUCACUAAUAAUGUACUGACACUGAUGGACGAAAGCGUG